UUCUCCUCCUCCCAUUUCUUGUUCUCUUCUAACCCUAAACCAAGAUCUACCAAAUUAAACACAAGUUUUCAGAAAUCAAAACCCAUUUAUUCUAAACCCUAAUCUCAUAAUUCAAGUUCCAUCUUUCGGAAAUCAAACCCAGUUUCAAUAACUCAAUCCCUAGAAAUCGUUUUCUUCUGUAAAAUCAAAUGACUCUGUAAGGUGUGCUUCGUUCCAACUUGAAGUUUACCUCUCUAGUGAUGAACUAAUGCAUCUUGCUCGUUUUGUGGUCAUAUGGUGUUCUAAAGAUAGUGUUUGUAUGUGGUGUUGAUGGUUUUGUUGGUGAAAGUGGUGUGUCUUGUUGCUUAGAGUUGGUAGUAUGGUUAGUGCUGCAGAUUUUCGUUCUUAGGGGUUUGUUGCAGUAGGUGGAGAUAUUGUUGGUAGUGGUGGUUUGGUAUUGAAGCUGGUGGUUCUGUAGGUGAUGGAGGCUGACUGGGCUUGUUGGCACUGCAACUAUUGCUACUGCAGUCAUCAACUUAUGCAGCCAGCCUUUGAUUUACUUCGGUUUCCCUUUUCUACAGGUGAUGAGCAAACCUGGCGGCAUCCCCCGGCAUGUGGAUGGCAAUGGACACUACGUUCUCAAUUCAGCACCAAAAGAUGUUGAUAUUGGAGGCAGUUGUUUAGGUCUCCUCUUUGUACACACUGCAGUUCAGACAGGUAUGUUUUGUUUUUGCCGUUUAUCUGCUGAAGUUUUAUUAUAAAGGUUAACCAAUGUUAGAGAAAUUUUUAAGUUUUAAGAUUUACGCGAGGCCAAUGUUAGAGAAACUUUUGACAAGGCCAGAGGGUCAGCACCUUGUGUUCUCUUCUUUGAUGAACUUGAUUCUGUCGCCACACAGAGAGGAAGCAGUGUUGGAGAUGCAGGUGGUGCUGCUGAUAGGGUACUUAACCAUCUUUUGACUGAAAUGGUGUUGCAUGUCAGCAAAAAAGACCGUUUUCAUCGUUGGUGCUACCAACAGGCCUGAUAUCAUUGAUCCUGCACUUCUGAGGCCAGUCUUGAUCAGUUGAUCUAUAUUCCAUUUCCUGAUGAAGCCUCUCGCUUCCAGAUCUUCAAGGCCUGCCUAAGGAAACCUAUCGCGAAGGAUGUUGACCUUUCAGCCCUUGCCAAGUACACUCAAGGAUUUAGUGGAGCAGAUAUUACUGAGAUAUGCCAGAGAGCUUGCAAGUAUGCUAUUAGAGAGAACAUUGAGAAAGAUAUAGAAAAGGAGAGGAGAAGAAGUGAUAAUCCCUAGAAGUGGAAGAGAUCAAGGCUGCACAUUUCGAGGAGUCGAUGAAAUAUGCACGCAUAAGUGUGAGUGAUGCUGACAUUCGCAAGUAUCAGGCCUUCGCUCAGACUUUGCAGCAGUCCAGGGGUUUCGGAUCUGAGUUCUGUUUUGCUGAUGCAUCAGGAGCAGCAACAGGGACCACUACCUCAGGUGCUGCGGAUCCUUUCGCAGCUUCUGCUGGUGCCGCCGAUGAAGACGACUUGUACAACAGGUAUGUUUUGUUUUGGGUACAAGUGAAAACCAAAACAGCGACGUGUGGAAGGGUAAAUAUGGUGCUCAACUAGGUUAGUACUAUGGUUCGAGUGAAGUGUGAAGGUAAGCUCAAAUAUAUCUUGUUCUUAUUUUAGGAAUGUUGUUUGAUGAUGGUUCUAUUUUUAACGUUUGUCUAUGGUUUAUUUUGUGUGGUGAUUGAUAAAAUACUUGAAGGUGAUCUUGUUACUGAGAUAUAGGAGUAUUUGGAAAAUUUUAUGAACUUCUAAGCUUAACUGCCACUGUAUCUCUUUUAAAGGCUAGAACUAUGGGGGAGGAGAACCUUAACUCCUGAUCUACUAAUAAUAAAAUAAAGUUAAGUCAUUCUUUUCUUUGUUUCUUAUUCAAAUGUGAGUGGUUUGUUUCUUGCUUAGGAACAUGAUUCUGUUUCUUAUUUUCCCUUUCUUAUACAUGUGUCCCUUUUCAUGUACACGCGGGGCAACCUGCACAGUAUACCCCAUUACCACCAUGGUUACUCGAGGGUUUUUUUUUGUGUUGAUGUUGACUCAAGUAGGUGAAGCCUGUGUCUUGCAUAUAGUCUUUGUUGUUUGUUACAGAUGUUGUUCCCAUUUAAUGCAGGAUGACCAUUUAAUAAUUUAGUAAAUCAUCUACCUGACCUGUUUUCAAUCUUUAUACCAUUUAAUCUAAUGCUUAUGAAUUGUAGCUUAUGGUUGCUGCCCCAUCUGUGUUACUGUGUACCAGAUGGUUGGAAUUUCCUGCAUUUGGACAAGUACCAUGGCUACUGCCUGUACCUGCAAUAGUGAUAAUUGGUAGAGGAAAAUCAUAGUAGGAGAACACACUUGGAAGUUGAUACUGUUAGUAAUUUGCAUGUCAACUCAAGUUAUCCGCACAAUAUAAAUGGUACAUUAAAAGUAGGCUGAAAGGAAAAACAGCAGGAUGGUAAGUUGGUUGGCUAAUUGAGGGUCUGGUCACUAUAGGUGUCACUUCAGGUGCUUCCCAAGAUAAGAAAAGAUGGUAUGUAGCUGGUAUUGUUAUGGAUGGAUUGGUUCAUUACAUCGUGUCAUUGUGCCAAGGGAAGAAAAAGAAUCGAGGUACCUUGGACCAUCUAAUAUAUCUGUUGUUCAAGUUAGAGUAUGCUUAGUAGGCUAGUUGAAAGUUGGGCAGGUCACUGCAGUGUGCCAACAUCUUACACACUCCCACUAUUUUCUUGUUGAUCCAUUAGGACUAAGUACUGUGAACAUAUUCGACAACAGCCUAGUCACAGUAGCGUUCUAGCAAUUUUCUUAUGUAUUGAUCGUGUACAUUCAAAAAUUCAUAAUGUUGUAAAAAUGAAUGAUUAUGUAUCGGUUCAGGGAUCUAUAUUAUUUGUAAUACUGGAAUUUUGAGAGUACCAAUAGAGAUUUUCUAAUUUUUUUUU
Molecule: long non-coding RNA, 2928 nt
Organism: Papaver somniferum (opium poppy)
Lineage: Eukaryota; Viridiplantae; Streptophyta; Magnoliopsida; Ranunculales; Papaveraceae
Exons: 9
Source: RefSeq, a predicted model, not a curated record